Molecule: microRNA, 22 nt
Filed under: Homo sapiens (human)
Lineage: Eukaryota; Metazoa; Chordata; Mammalia; Primates; Hominidae
Description: hsa-miR-4713-5p
Source: miRBase by way of RNAcentral
UUCUCCCACUACCAGGCUCCCA